GGGCCCGCACAAGCGGAGGAACAUGUGGUUUAAUUCGAAGCAACGCGAAGAACCUUACCAAGGCUUGACAUCCCAAUGACGUAUAUAGAGAUAUAUAUUCUUUUCGGAGCAUUGGAGACAGGUGGUGCAUGGUUGUCGUCAGCUCGUGUCGUGAGAUGUUGGGUUAAGUCCCGCAACGAGCGCAACCCUUAUCUUUAGUAGCCAGCAGUAAGAUGGGCACUCUAGAGAGACUGCCGUGGAUAACACGGAGGAAGGUGGGGAUGACGUCAAAUCAUCAUGCCCCUUAUGUCUUGGGCAACACACGUGCUACAAUGGGCGGAACAAAGUGAAGCAAAGCCGCGAGGUGGAGCAAAGCACAAAAACCGUUCUCAGUUCGGAUUGUAGUCUGCAACUCGACUACAUGAAGCUGGAAUCGCUAGUAAUCGCGAAUCAGAAUGUCG
Molecule: ribosomal RNA, 440 nt
Filed under: uncultured Bacillota bacterium
Lineage: Bacteria; Bacillati; Bacillota
Description: bacterial SSU rRNA
Rfam family: Bacterial small subunit ribosomal RNA
Source: RNAcentral